RNAcentral lists this long non-coding RNA (1193 nucleotides) under Vulpes vulpes (red fox). RNAcentral describes it as "lncRNA (ENSVVUG00000018591.1)". The record is from RNAcentral. Lineage: Eukaryota; Metazoa; Chordata; Mammalia; Carnivora; Canidae.
UGUGGUCACAGUUGAGGAAAGUUGGUUUGUAACAUCAGCAGUCUUGAGUAGCAAUCUCAGAAAACUUCUUUUGGUGAUGACCAUGACUUAUGUGUGUCUAUUUUAGUAAUAAUGGCCCGUGAUGUAUCCUCUUUUCUUUCUCAUGGUGGCCCUAUUCAUAAUUUUCAGCUUUCUGAAGAGGAUCUGAGGUGAACACAUCAGCCUGCAGUGUCCCUAGCAAUGGAAUGCUCCCCAAGGAACACACCUUCAUCUGACUAAUUGUCUUUCAAAAUUGAUUUUAGCCAGUCUCUUAAAUUGCUACGGUCAGGUGCAGCACUCCAAAGAGAAUUUGAGUUCUAGGCGUUGGUGUAUUUUUCCUAUUGCUUCACACCUGGAAAAAAGGUAUCCAUUACAACUCCAGAAAGUCAUGCAGGUACCAAAUGAAAAACCUGGAAUUUGUGUUUUGAGAACUAUGAAACAAGAGAAAACAUAUGGAAUAUUAUCAGUGACCUCAAAAUUAAAAUUAAAAUAGCCAACCUUUAUGUUUCAAACUAAAUUGGCAGGUAAUUUUACAAUUAUUGAAGACAAGAAGGAGGAUUGCUAAGGAUUACAUUUAAAGUCCUCACAUAUGUUUGAUACAUUCUCAAAAAUAUUCUAUGAAAGGAAAAAGAGACUUUUUCUCAAACAUGUUCUCUAGAAAGCUUAAGUACUUACAUAUUGCUCCUGGUCUGGAUUAUGUUGUUAUUUUCACAGGUUUCCCUCUUGCUAAUGAAGCAUGUGACUUAGUGUGGUAGCAGGUUUUCCCCUUGUUUCUAAAGGGAGGACCCAGCAUCCAAAAAUAGACUGAUUUUAUGCUUAAACACUGAAGUAAUAGUUCUGGGAAUAAGAGCCUUCAAAGUCUCUUAAGUUUCUUUAUAUCCCUUAUUUUAUUUGCUAAGAAUAUUAUGGAAACUCUGCCAAUACCCUUUGGUAAGAAGCUAAUUAACAAUGAAUGAGUAUAGUCAAUUGAGAUAUUGUUAUGUAAGCAAAUAGAACAAUGCCAGGUUACAUCGUUUAUUAUAAAACAUGUCUCAAUUAAAAUUUCAUGUGAUAUAGUGCAUGCAGAUUUUCUAGGAUAAACAGCAAUGUUUUAGAGACUAAAACCCUUUUACAGCAUGCUAGUAAACCCUGAGAUAGCAAAUCAAUAGAAUAUUCAUGUCAAGCAAGAGAGUUUC